GUAGUCAUAUGCUUGUCUCAAAGACUAAGCCAUGCAUGUCUAAGUAUAAGCAAUUAUACAGUGAAACUGCGAAUGGCUCAUUAAAUCAGUUAUCGUUUAUUUGAUAGUACCUUACUACUUGGAUAACCGUGGUAAUUCUAGAGCUAAUACAUGCUUAAAAUCCCGACUGUUUGGAAGGGAUGUAUUUAUUAGAUAAAAAAUCAAUGCCUUCGGGCUCUUUGAUGAUUCAUAAUAACUUUUCGAAUCGCAUGGCCUUGUGCUGGCGAUGGUUCAUUCAAAUUUCUGCCCUAUCAACUUUCGAUGGUAGGAUAGUGGCCUACCAUGGUUUCAACGGGUAACGGGGAAU
Molecule: ribosomal RNA, 346 nt
Filed under: uncultured fungus
Lineage: Eukaryota; Fungi
Description: SSU rRNA
Rfam family: Eukaryotic small subunit ribosomal RNA
Source: RNAcentral